CAGUGAAGUAUUGAUCAUCGAUCUAGAGUGAUUAAUAUUGAAUGUCAUGUUACCUGUUCUUUUUAUGCUAAAUCACUCGCUCCAAAAGUGGUAUCGAUUUCCUCAUUUAUAUUUUAUAUGAUAUUCAUUUUCAAUAUUUCAGAUCGUAUAGUGGAUCAGGAUUAUCUGUACGUGUUAAUUAUGAUUUUAAUAUAGACGCGCAAAUGAAAUGAUCAAAGGAGAGGGGAUGACAAUAACAUAAAUGUUGUUGUAGUAUUUGGCAACAAUCAACGUUAUCUUUAUGGAUUCCAUCGGACUGAAACAAACAGCUGGUAUAACAUAGUAGUUUCUCUUCAUCCACCGAAUGGACGCAGCGAACUAGUUGUCUCGGGGCAAAGACAUUGGGCAGCUAUUGUAGAUGGCAUCCCUAUGACCGAUGGAUAUCGAUGGUAUUACAACAUGGUUUCUGUACAUCCAAGAAAUUAGGUCAAUAAACCAGUCGUUUCGGGAAACAAGCUAGUGAUACCAGCAGUAUGCAAUACAUUGCACAAGACUCAACGGAAGAUGAAAUGUAAUGGUGUGGAAAUCAUUAUGGCGAUUCACUACUGUGAUUUGUAUGACAGAUUGAUAAAAAUGAAGUGAAGAGAACGCUUUAGAAUAUCGUUCAUACUGAUGUUAUGUUAUUGAAAAUAUAGAUUUCUUAUCACACACAAGUAUUCUCAACUUUCAUUUAUCCAUUCAAUGAAUGCUUAUAUUCUAAGGUCAUUCCUGUACCUAUUUUUCACUUUUCAAGCAAAUCAAUAAAAAGUAAAAAAAAUGCUUGUCUGUUUUUUUCAAAAAGAAUAUAAUUACAUAUGAAUAUAUAUAAAUAUACAUUAAGCUAAUUCCGGUCUUUCCAAGUCAAGUAUAAUGCCUGUAGACCACAGCUGCUCCUCGUAUGACUAUAUUUUCGAGCCAAAUAGUCACAGACAAAGGUUCACAGCUUUUAUUUAUUAUUUGAUGGCAGAUCACAUUAUAUGACUUUCAUACUGUCACUGUUUUAUAUCUUUUCUAUCUAUAAGGCAUAUGUGAAUCUCUUUGGUUGCUUUGAUGAUAUAUUAACAUAGGCUUUAAACGUUUGCUUAAUUUUAAAUUUGAUAUUGUGUUUUAAUAUUAACAACUGCUCAUAGGAGAGUUACGAAAUUUACUUCAAUGUAUAAAUUAACAAAAAUCGUUUAAAAUUUGUGUGAGUGUUCAAAUGUAUUUAGACAUUGUCAUAUUUAAUGGCCCGCGAUAGGAAAACAAUGCAAACGUUGUAAGGUCUUAUUGUGUGAUACUUAAGUUCUAAAACCGUUAAGAUGAUUUGAUAGUGUUGCCUUUUAAUCGAGCACACUAUACACAGCACAUAAUUAAUACAUUUUGAAUAUUUGUAAAAGACAUGCACUUAAAAUAUUAUAAAAAGUUUUAUUAUCUGUGUGUGUUUAGACACAAAAAUGACUGCAAUCGAGGAAUAUGUCUGAAUCAGGAGAAAAUCAACCUGAAAUUGGAACAAGGGGAAUAACUACUUCUAAAGAAAGAUAUCAUAUAUUUAUCGAAUGAUUCCCUGUUUAGAUUCAAUUUGCAACUAGGCAUCUCAUGUGAAUGUAAAAAUGCUUCGCAUUCAUGGGCAGCAGGUGUGUGGGUGGCCAAUAACGGAUCACUAGCGUUUAUGAACGAACGAUUUUUAGAUUCAUAUAUAAAUGUAUGUUGAUAAGAAGUAUUUUUCCCCUUUAACUGUAUACUUCUUCUGAAUUUAUUUUUGAAUGCAUCGUGGUGUAUUUACCGUUUCCAAACUUCUUGUAAACAUGCCAAUAGCGGAUCAAAUCGGCCAUUAUCGGGUCACGUGAUAUACGAACGGGGGUCAAAACAUUAAUUAUCUCUAAAAUUCUUCCUAACCCAGGAAAAUAUUACACAACUAUGCGUUACCGCUGAUUAUUAAAGUGAAAAGGGUAUCAAUAAGUAA
This is a long non-coding RNA of Ruditapes philippinarum (Manila clam), 1960 nucleotides long. RefSeq lists it as uncharacterized. The transcript is spliced from 6 exons. The record is from RefSeq and is a predicted model, not a curated record. Lineage: Eukaryota; Metazoa; Mollusca; Bivalvia; Venerida; Veneridae.